GAUGUACGCUGGCGGCGUGCCUAAUACAUGCAAGUCGAGCGAACGGACGAGAAGCUUGCUUCUCUGAUGUUAGCGGCGGACGGGUGAGUAACACGUGGAUAACCUACCUAUAAGACUGGGAUAACUUCGGGAAACCGGAGCUAAUACCGGAUAAUAUUUUGAACCGCAUGGUUCAAAAGUGAAAGACGGUCUUGCUGUCACUUAUAGAUGGAUCCGCGCUGCAUUAGCUAGUUGGUAAGGUAACGGCUUACCAAGGCAACGAUGCAUAGCCGACCUGAGAGGGUGAUCGGCCACACUGGAACUGAGACACGGUCCAGACUCCUACGGGAGGCAGCAGUAGGGAAUCUUCCGCAAUGGGCGAAAGCCUGACGGGGCAACGCCGCGUGAGUGAUGAAGGUCUUCGGAUCGUAAAACUCUGUUAUUAGGGAAGAACAUAUGUGUAAGUAACUGUGCACAUCUUGACGGUACCUAAUCAGAAAGCCACGGCUAACUACGUG
This 497-nucleotide ribosomal RNA is filed under the name uncultured bacterium. Its description in RNAcentral is "partial 16S ribosomal RNA". It matches the Rfam family "Bacterial small subunit ribosomal RNA", at positions 28 to 507 of the family's 1533-position model. The record is from RNAcentral.